Molecule: long non-coding RNA, 966 nt
Organism: Solea solea (common sole)
Lineage: Eukaryota; Metazoa; Chordata; Actinopteri; Pleuronectiformes; Soleidae
Exons: 4
Source: RefSeq, a predicted model, not a curated record
GCAGCAGCAGCAGCAGCAGCAGCAGCAGUCAGGCUGCUUUGUCCCAGGGUGUAUGACAGUAUAUGGGCGCCCCCUAGCGUAUGAUUUCCCCGUGCUUUGAAAUAAGAUUCAAUUUAGAGGAGCCACCCGACAAGGAAACUGCUUCAGUCUCGUCUCGCUCAGCGACCAAAACUAACGAGCUCCAUUAUAAACUCACGCCUGUUUGUUUAAAAUCUGUUUUUACAUGACUUGGACGGCAAAGCUUUGACACUUGCCAAAGUUGGAUUUACUUCUUUUUUUUUGCCACUUUAUUUAGACCGAAUUGUAUCUUUAAAAGCAAGUGCGUGCGAUUAUUGUUUCGUCUAUAUGACUUAUGUUAUCUAAUUUUAUUUACGGUUGCCGUGAACAUGGAGAGCCAGUAAAUAAUAAUAAUAAUAAUUAUAAUUUUUUUUUAAAUUAAUACUCCACAAUAGACUCAUCGGGGACGCACGUUUACUUCAAAGGAGCUCAGAACUGAAAACUGGCAGAGCUUCCUCUCCAGCAGACGGGAUCAGACACAAAAAAGAGGCACGCUGCUGCGCUGUUUAUUGGAAGAUUGCAAUGUCUGUUGGUGGUGAUGAGGAUGAUGGUGGUGGUGAUGAUCGUGCAGAAACUUUGAGGGAGAGCCCGAAGACUUGCAGCAAAUUGAUUCGCGUCAUUCAUAAAGCCAUUGCCUGUAAUGGCUCAGCUUUUCCUCUACAAAUGAGACAUUAGUGAACAGCAGCCUGUGAGUGAUUUUCAGGAAACACAGUGUGGUACAAAUGUGCACUGUCAGGCAGCAUCACUUGCAUCGCAGCAAGCUCAUGGUGCAAGCAUCAGGGGGAAAACACUGCUACAUCUGCUUAGAACUGGAUGCAUGACUAAACUAUCAUUGUGUAUUGUAUCGUAAGAAACUUUCAUAUUCUGUGUAUACAGUACACAUACAAUAAGCAUCGAUAAACCGAUAAA